AUACGUAGGUGACAAGCGUUAUCCGGAUUUACUGGGCGUAAAGGGCGUGUAGGCGGUCUUGCAAGUCAGAAGUGAAAUUCCUGAGCUCAACUCGGGCGCUGCUUCUGAAACUGCAGGACUUGAGUGCUGGAGGGGAUAGCGGAAUUCCUAGUGGAGCGGUAAAAUGCGCAGAUAUUAGGAAGAACACCGGUGGCGAAGGCGGCUAUCUGGACAGUAACUGACGCUGAGGCGCGAAAGCGUGGGGAGCAAACAUGAUUAGAUACCCUGUUAGUCCACGCCGUAAACGAUGAAUACUAGAUGUAGGGGGUAUCGACUCCCUCUGUGCCGCAGUUAACACAAUAAGUAUUCCGCCUGGGGAGUACGGCCGCAAGGUUGAAACUCAAAUGAAUUGGCGGGG
RNAcentral lists this ribosomal RNA (397 nucleotides) under uncultured bacterium. Its description in RNAcentral is "partial 16S ribosomal RNA". It matches the Rfam family "Bacterial small subunit ribosomal RNA", at positions 523 to 918 of the family's 1533-position model. The record is from RNAcentral.